RNAcentral lists this long non-coding RNA (1871 nucleotides) under Homo sapiens (human). Its description in RNAcentral is "HSALNT0386442". The record is from RNAcentral. Lineage: Eukaryota; Metazoa; Chordata; Mammalia; Primates; Hominidae.
UACUGUCAAGGACCUCCAGCUAAAACCACCAAUAGAGAUGGGAUUUCACCGUAUUAGCCAGGAUGGUCUCGAUCUCCUGACCUCGUGAUCCACCUGCCUCAGCCUCCCAAAGUGCUGGGAUUACAGGCGUGAGCCACCGGAGUCUUUGUAUUCUUAACUAGUUCUCAAAGCCCAGGUUUUGUUAUUUCUCAUAAAGAAACCAAAAUCCUGUGGUUCAGUCCUGGAUUUACACAGCCCAAAUGACAGGAUACUGAAGCAAGCAAGAGAGAGAAGCUGAUCACUCAUCCACUCCAUCAUCACCAUGCUCUUAAAGCUCUCUGUGUUUUUCAUUUCACAUCGUGUAUCAGUAAAAAUGUGGCAAUGACAAGAUACUAUUUCACUUUGUGAUACGAUGUGUUGGAAUAAAAAAAAGGAUGGAAAGUUUAUUGUCCUUCCAAGAAUAACAGACAUUUAUAUUUUGGAAAGAUGAGUUGUCUUUCAAACUUCACCAAGGAAUUAUAAAGAGUUAUGUCAGAACAUGGCAUGUAAAUUGAGGCUGCCAGCAUCUGGUGAGGGUCAUUCCAUGGCCAGAAGCAUCACAUGGUGAGAGCACAAGCACAAAAGAGAAAAUCAGAACAAAUAUAUACUUUUUAUCAGAAAUCCACUUCCACAUAUAUGAGAGUUCUACUUCCUCCACAUACUAUAUAACACCAGAAUGACACAGACUGAGUAAUUUAUAAAGAAAAGAAGUUUAUUUGGCUCAUGGUUCUGAAGGCUGCGAAGUUCAAGGUCCUGGUGGCAUUUUCUGAUGAGGACUUUUGUACCGCAUCAAAACAUGAGGGUAAAAAAUGGCCAAUUGGUGAAAAAAAUAAAAGAAGAAUGGCUAGAACUUCUCCCAAAGAGAAUUUUGUGUUUUGUUUUGUUCAUUGAUUCUCAAGCAACACCUAGAAGGAAAGCUGGAAAUGAAUGAAGAGAAGGAAGAGACGUACAGCUGCACUGGCUUGCCUCUCAGUAAGAUUACAGAUGCUUGCAUGAAUUCAUGACAGAUAAUUAUGUUCUAUAUAUCACACUGACUUUUGUUACAGUGGUACUACCAAGUUCUGGCGAAGAAUGAGGUUGUCAUUGGUAAAUAAUUGUUGAACCAGUUACUACAUUUCCUAGCUCCUCUUACCUCUAUAUGUGUCCAUGAGACUUUUGAUUGUGAAUGGAAGAUGAGAAGAAUUGAUGUGUGCCAUUCUCAGCCAAGGCUUUUUUAAAGAAGAGAGAGAAUGUGUCUCCUCCACGUUUUUGUUUGUUUGUUUGGUUUUGUUCUUACCCAUAUCUUGCACAGAAGCAUUAAAUAACUACAAUGCCCUAGAGAAUGGCAGAUGGGUAAGAUGAAAGGAGCCAGGUCCAGGCAGCACUCCACAGAAUAGGUCUCCCCGAGACACAGAAGAGUGCCACUUGUAUGCAAAGCCAAAAUAAACCUCUAUUGUGUUUGAAUCUUUAUGUGUUUUGAGGCUAUUUUUAGCAGCUUUUGUUACCCUAACUAGUUCAGAAAUCUGCUUGGUAUAGUGAAAGAAAAGCACUGAGAAGCUUAACUACUUCUUGCUGGGUGGCAAAAUUGUAAUUUCUAAUAAAAUUACAAGAUUUGUAUAAGUUCGUGCAUUUUAUGAUUUCUACUCCAAAAUAUUUUGGCUAUUCCUUAAGUAUAAACAUAAUUUUACAUAUUUAUGUAUUUAUUUAUUUAAUGUCAAUCACUCUGUCGCCCAGGCUGGAGUGCACUGGCACUAUCUCAGCUCACUGCAACCUCCGCCUCCUGCGUUCAAGCGAUCCUCCUGCCUCAGCCUCCUGAGUAGCUGGCACUACUGGUGUGCACCACCACACAGGGCUAAUUUUUGAAUUUUUUUGCA